Molecule: ribosomal RNA, 243 nt
Filed under: uncultured bacterium
Lineage: Bacteria
Description: partial 16S ribosomal RNA
Rfam family: Bacterial small subunit ribosomal RNA
Source: RNAcentral
GAUCCUGCUCAGGACGAACGCUGGCGGCGCGCCUAACACAUGCAAGUCGAACGAGAGAGAAGGAGCUUGCUUCUUCGAUCGAGUGGCGAACGGGUGAGUAACGCGUGAGGAACCUGCCUCAAAGAGGGGGACAACAGUUGGAAACGACUGCUAAUACCGCAUAAGCCCACGGGUCGGCAUCGACCUGAGGGAAAAGGAGCAAUCCGCUUUGAGAUGGCCUCGCGUCCGAUUAGCUAGUUGGUG